UCCUGGUUAGCUCAGUUGGUAGAGCACUCUGCUGGAAAUGGAGGGGUCCCUGGUUCGAUACCAAAACCAGGCA
This 73-nucleotide transfer RNA is filed under the name Ixodes scapularis (black-legged tick). It matches the Rfam family "tRNA". Rfam says of the family: Transfer RNA (tRNA) molecules are approximately 80 nucleotides in length. Their secondary structure includes four short double-helical elements and three loops (D, anti-codon, and T loops). Lineage: Eukaryota; Metazoa; Arthropoda; Arachnida; Ixodida; Ixodidae. The record is from Rfam by way of RNAcentral.